Molecule: unclassified non-coding RNA, 21 nt
Filed under: Mus musculus (house mouse)
Lineage: Eukaryota; Metazoa; Chordata; Mammalia; Rodentia; Muridae
Description: oocyte_clustered_small_RNA10194
Source: RNAcentral
AUGAUGGCCAUGGUGGAGCGA